GGAGAGGUUCGGGAGUGGUUUAACCGGCGCGCUUGGAAGGCGCGUGACCAGAAAUGGUCCGUGGGUUCGAAUCCCACCCUCUCCGCCA
RNAcentral lists this transfer RNA (88 nucleotides) under Candidatus Omnitrophota bacterium. RNAcentral describes it as "tRNA-Ser". It matches the Rfam family "tRNA". Rfam says of the family: Transfer RNA (tRNA) molecules are approximately 80 nucleotides in length. Their secondary structure includes four short double-helical elements and three loops (D, anti-codon, and T loops). Further hydrogen bonds mediate the characteristic L-shaped molecular structure. tRNAs have two regions of fundamental functional importance: the anti-codon, which is responsible for specific mRNA codon recognition, and the 3' end, to which the tRNAs corresponding amino acid is attached (by aminoacyl-tRNA synthetases). tRNAs cope with the degeneracy of the genetic code in two manners: having more than one tRNA (with a specific anti-codon) for a particular amino acid; and 'wobble' base-pairing, i.e. permitting non-standard base-pairing at the 3rd anti-codon position. Lineage: Bacteria; Pseudomonadati; Candidatus Omnitrophota. The record is from RNAcentral.